GAUGAACGCUGGCGGCGUGCCUAACACAUGCAAGUCGAACGUUAGGGUCUAGCAAUAGACCCAAAAGUGGCGAACGGGUGAGUAACACGUAGGUAACCUGCCGCGCAGAGGGGGAUAACGACUGGAAACGGUCGCUAACACCGCAUGGUACCAUUUUGGGGGGACCCUGAAUGGUUAAAACUUUGGUGCUGCGCGAGGGGCCUGCGUCCGAUUAGCUAGUUGGUGAGGUAACGGCUCACCAAGGCUGUGAUCGGUAGCUGGUCUGAGAGGAUGAUCAGUCACACGGGAACUGAGACACGGUCCCGACUCCUACGGGGGGCAGCAGUGAGGAAUAUUGCACAAUGGACGCAAGUCUGAUGCAGCAACGCCGCGUGGAGGAUGAAGGCCCUUGGGUUGUAAACUCCUUUUUUCAGGGAAGAGUAUGGACGGUACCUGAAGAAUAAGUCACGGCUAACUACGUGCCAGCAGCCGCCGUAACAC
RNAcentral lists this ribosomal RNA (480 nucleotides) under uncultured bacterium. Its description in RNAcentral is "bacterial SSU rRNA". It matches the Rfam family "Bacterial small subunit ribosomal RNA", at positions 28 to 526 of the family's 1533-position model. The record is from RNAcentral.